UACGUAGGGAGCAAGCGUUGUCCGGAUUUACUGGGUGUAAAGGGUGCGCAGGCGGAUUAGUAAGUCAGGGGUGAAAUCUCACGGCUCAACCGUGAAAUUGCCUUUGAUACUGCUAAUCUUGAGUUCAGAAGAGAGAAGCGGAAUUCCAGGUGUAGUAGUGAAAUACGUAGAUAUCUGGAAGAACACCAGUGGCGAAGGCGGCUUCUUGGUCUGUAACUGACACUGAGGCGCGAAAGCGUGGGGAGCAAACAGGAUUAGAAACCCGAGUAGU
Molecule: ribosomal RNA, 271 nt
Filed under: uncultured bacterium
Lineage: Bacteria
Description: partial 16S ribosomal RNA
Rfam family: Bacterial small subunit ribosomal RNA
Source: RNAcentral